RNA transcript from Doryrhamphus excisus (bluestripe pipefish), 8050 nucleotides. It is a transcript of the gene named cyclin dependent kinase 19, with no coding region annotated. Lineage: Eukaryota; Metazoa; Chordata; Actinopteri; Syngnathiformes; Syngnathidae. The record is from RefSeq and is a predicted model, not a curated record.
CAACGAGCCAGUGAACAUUAAGCGGAGCAGACCAAAAUCCCAAACAAGGAAAUGGUGGGGGAAUAAACCGAGCAGAUUAUUUAAUUAAUGCAUGUAAUAAUUAAUAUUUUAUUUUUUAUUGUAAAUUAAGACGUAUUUAUGGGUUAGAAUGGAUUACGACUUCAAAACAAAGCUGGCCGCCGAGAGGGAGAGAGUGGAGGAUCUGUUCGAAUAUGAAGGUUGCAAAGUGGGUCGAGGCACCUACGGGCACGUUUAUAAAGCAAAGCGCAAAGACGGGAUAGACGAGAAGGAAUAUGCACUGAAACAGAUAGAAGGCACUGGAAUAUCAAUGUCUGCCUGCAGGGAAAUCGCUCUGUUGCGAGAACUGAAACAUCCAAACGUGAUUGCCCUGCAGAAAGUGUUCUUGUCCCACAGUGACAGAAAAGUUUGGCUCUUGUUUGAUUACGCCGAACACGACCUUUGGCAUAUCAUCAAGUUCCAUCGCGCCUCCAAGGCCAAUAAGAAGCCUAUGCAGCUGCCCCGAGGGAUGGUGAAGUCUCUUUUGUAUCAGAUUCUGGAUGGGAUCCAUUACCUCCAUGCCAACUGGGUGCUCCACAGGGAUCUGAAACCAGCUAACAUCCUGGUCAUGGGAGAAGGACCUGAACGAGGAAGAGUUAAAAUCGCUGACAUGGGUUUCGCAAGACUCUUCAACUCUCCCCUCAAGCCCCUGGCAGACCUGGAUCCUGUGGUGGUCACAUUCUGGUACAGGGCCCCGGAGCUGUUGCUGGGGGCGCGACACUACACCAAAGCUAUUGACAUCUGGGCAAUUGGCUGCAUCUUCGCUGAGCUGCUAACAUCAGAGCCAAUCUUUCACUGCCGCCAGGAAGACAUCAAGACCAGUAACCCCUUCCAUCAUGACCAGCUGGACAGGAUAUUCAGCGUCAUGGGUUUCCCCGCAGAUAAAGACUGGGAAGACAUUCGGAAGAUGCCGGAAUAUCCAACACUGCAGAAAGACUUUAGGCGAACAACAUAUGCAAACAGCAGCUUGAUCAAAUACAUGGAGAAACAUAAAGUCAAACCAGACAGUAAAGUUUUCCUGCUGCUCCAGAAACUACUCACCAUGGACCCAACAAAACGAAUCACUUCAGAACAAGCACUGCAGGACCCGUACUUCCUGGAGGACCCGCUACCAACCACUGAUGUGUUUGCUGGCUGUCAGAUCCCAUACCCAAAGAGAGAGUUUCUCAACGAAGACGAACCAGAAGAGAAAACAGAAAAGAACCAGACCCAGCAGCACCAGCAGACUACAGGUCAGACUCAGAACCAGAACCAGCAGCAAACAGCAGCCCAGCAGGCCACAUCUCAGCAGAACUCAACCCAGACCAACGGCACCACAGGGGCUAGUGGGGGUUUACAACAUGGACAAGACCAGGGUCCCCCUAAUAAAAAACCCCGCAUCGGGCCCUCUGGUACCUCUUCAGGCACCGGGGUGCUCCAGUCAGAGUACCAGCACUCCGGUUCCCGCCUGGGUUACCAAAGCAGUAUCCAAGGUUCCACUCAGCCUCAGAGCACCAUGGGAUACACGGCGUCAUCGCAGCAGAGCUCCCAGUAUUCCCACCAGACCCACCACCGUUACUGACACUCCCAGUGAAGCGGGAAGCGGCAGACGGCAGGCGCCAUCUUUUGGCUGCGGACCAGGAAGCGUCUGCUCCGUACCGGUUGGCCGUUUUCUCGAGGCAUUACGUCAUUCCAGAUCCUUUAGCGUGCGGUGACAAAUAGGAAAAGAUGGAAGCAAACGUUGCCCGUCUGGGCUGGUGAGACGUUUUAAUGUCAAAUAAGCGUCAAGGCACCACACGUGUACUCCAAAAACUUCUGGCACUUCUGAAACACGAGUAGGAGACGUUGCAGCUUAUAUAUAUUUACCUUAUCUAGCACCUUUUUUUCUAGUUUCAGGUUUUAUCCCCUUGCUCGUUUGUUGUAAAUACUACAUACUGUAUGUAGUACGUAGGACUGAUCGCAAUCCUGCAUAAUCCAAUGCAGAUUUUAUGUAAGAAAGACAUUUCUACAAACAGGAAAUCAGCUCCCGGGCUGAUCACAUUGCAGGGAAAGACAGAACAAUUGAACUCACCACCAUCCCAUAUCCAUAGCGCUCUUUCUCUGAUAGAUUUGAAAUGUACAGAAGCAACGUAGUCCUCUUUGUUUUUUGUUUUUUUUACAAGUUGUGUACAUUCUACUCUAACAGGAUGCGAUUGGGAGUGUUUUGGACAUCCAGCAUCCAAACGUGCGCAUAAACGUACAGGGCAGCUAACGACUAAAAGUCAAUUCAAUGGAACCCGUCUAAGUCGACCAACUCAUCAAGUCCUGGUCUACCGUGUUCUACGAGUACAAGUACUACAAGUACUACACUUUCACACUAAUGUACAUGCAAAACAAUACUAUUUUAUACAAGGUAUGCUGGGAAGCCCAAAUAAGGCAUGGAUAAGACAUCAUAUGUGUCUGUACAGUACUUCCUACACUGGCUGUUGUCUUAUCAAUGGAAUAUUACUGACACCUAGUGGCCAGUGUACAUACUACAUAUCACAACAUCUUUGAAUGUGUAUUUUACUUUAUUUUGACAUUUUUAUGCUACAAAAUGCUUCAUUUAGCCAGAAAAUAUGUAAAAAUGUGCUUAAAUAUGUAUAUUCUUUGAGUAUUAUGAGACAUAUUGAACCAUAAAACAGCAAUAUAUUUUUGAUAAACAGUAAUGAGUGUAUUCAUUCAUUCAUUCAUUUUCUACCGCUUACCUUAACGAGGGUGGCAGGGGUGCUGGAGCCUAUCCCAGCUGUCUUAGGGGCGAGACGCGGUGUACACCCUGGACUGGUGGCCAGCCAAUCACAGGGCACAUAUAGACAAACAACCAUUCACACUCACAUACCUAUGAAACUACGUGAAAACAAUAAUCAAUCAAAACAAAGGAAGAGAAAACUCUGUCUUAUCAUGGGACCUUUCUUCCUCUUCUUCAGUGGGAGGUUUCUCAGCCGCAGCUCACAAAAUGUAUCCUUUGAACCAGAAUGGAGAGAAACUAUGUUAAAAAAAACUAGCAUCAAUUGUAAAAUCCUGUCCUUUUGUGUCUGGCCAAGGUCACAAGUUUUUAACAUAGUGUCGUCAGUGAGGGAUGUCCACUUAAACGGGUUCCACCAUCUACGCUGGUCUAUGUUUUCCCGAAUUUUAAGCAUGAAAGUAAAUAAUAGAACCAAUUGGAUCAGCAGGAUUACACGGAAAAACUCCAAAAACCAAUUGGCUCAUGGGCCAAGGAAGAAUCUGUGCAGUAAAGGUGCAGAUACAGUCAUUUGUUUUAUUAGUAUUCAACAUUGAAGUGCCUGUCUCCACAAGAAGCACCUAGCAUGUUUUCGGAAACGGGAAACGGCCCCUGGGGUUACUGUACAGCGCAAAGACCCUCAAUGAAAUAAUCCAUGUUUGAACACCAUUAACAGCUUUAUGUGUUUUUGCAAAUGUGUGACAGUUUUUCCUACCAGGGGUGACCUUGCUUUCUCCAGUGUGGGCCGCAUACACAUAAACUAAAGGAUGGGGGGGGGCACUUUUGUACAUUAAAGAUGCUAAAAGCAAUAGGCCGGUAUAUGCUAAGCUAUAUGAACCAAGCUUUGUGUUAUAGCUGACAAAGCAAAUGAGUAAUAUGUUAUUAUAUGAACUUAUUGGAUUUUUACUCGAUGCCAAGGGCACGUUGGACACCCCUGGAUGUAAAAUUCCGUGUCUUCACGAGGAAUGUUUGCACAUUGAAAGUAAUGUCAUGUUUGCUGUUGAUUUUGGUGAAAAUGUCAUUUUUGUGUACUUUACAAGGCACUCAUUCAAAUGUGUUUUUAAGUAUAGUGGACAGUAUUCAUUUGAUUUUAUGUUUUUUUUACCUACUUAUUGUAAUCAAUAUUGUAAUGUACUAGAAUCAUGAUAUAACUACAUUACAUUUUUAUUUUAUUCAAUUCCAAUGUUUUACUAUUGUUUAUCACACUGUCUGAUGUCUAAUAUUAAGGCUUUACUUUCUGUGUCAGGGGUGUCCAAAGUGCAUCCUGGGGGUCACUUGUGGCCCAUGGCUGUUUUUUUUAAAUUGCACAUUCUAUAAAUAUAAUUUAACAAGAAAACAAAUACAAAAGUAGUAAAAAUCAACAAAAUAAAUGUUGUUAUGAGUAAAAGUCACAAGUCAAAAUAUGAGAAAUAAAAUGUCAUUUUAGUAGCAUAGAGUUGAAAUAUUUUUUAAGUUGUGUUAUGAGAGAAAUAAAAUAAAAUUGUAAUUUUUUAAAAUGUGGGUUCUGGAAAAGGUGUUAAGACGGGAAUAAAGUCAAAAUAUGAUGGCAAUAAAGUCAUAAUAUUACAAGGAGACAAUUUCCUUUAGAAGAAAGGUGAAAUAUUUGGAAAAUUAUAUUUAAAAAAACAGCAAAAAUGGGUGUGCAAAGGCUGAAGUUGAUAAUAAUAAUAAUAUAAUGUUUUUCCCUAUCAAAUAUCAAAGUUGCAUCCUUUCACUUUUCACUAUGUGGCCCUCACUGGAAAAUGUUUGGACACCCUUGGAUUCUAUACAGUAUAUUUAAUAAUAACUAUAAAAUGUGUCAUUCUGUGGUGCAUUUGAUGGAAAUAUCCGCACUGUUUUAUUAUCGCUACCUCCCCGUGCUUGAGUAGGGUUACAUCAUUUGUUGACUAUAUUUUCAUUACAAAAAAAAUGAUCAUGUAUUUUCCCUUCACCACUGAAUGCAACGGGAAAAACCAACACUUCACAUGGAGUUUAACCCAUAAGAACACAGACCCAAUAGUGCUUUAAGUAAAAUGGCGGGGGAUACAUUUUCUGAAAUACUACUAAUUAACAUCAAAGAUGUGUAAAAGUGACAUUUAUUGAAUGGUUUAUUAGUAUUUUUGCUACGCUCAGGGUUUCCAUCACAUUUUUAAGGCUAAAUUGCUUGAUAUUUUCCUAGCUUGUUUUCUACGAAUUCAUUAAAAACAUAUAUAAUAAGAACAGUGGUAUUGUAAUAUUGUCUAAUGUCUUUAAAAUUAGCUUUAAUGGCAAAAAAAUACGCUUUUGGCGAUAAGCUAGCUCACCUGAUGCACUGCCAUUUUGAGGCAGCUAUUUCCUGUGGUAGCGCCAUGAUGUCACGUGAUGAUCACCCCAUGCCACUUAGGGACUUAAUGAGUUUAAUAAGUCAAGCACAAAGCUGUAUAAAACACAUUUAAAGUUUGGUUCUUAUGGGCUAAAUCCAAUGGAGUUCGCUGUGAAGUGAAGACGUAUACUCUUUUGGAGUAGGGAAGGGCAACAGAUGGGCCACAAGUCAAACAAACAAUUAGGAAACACUGACCCCUAUUGAGCGAAGGGAGAACUGCACUUGUUUCCCAUUAGACUUCAACGUGUAGUAUGUGUGGUGUGUAAACUUCGUGUCUCAAAUGGAAUACUUCCGGCAGUACACUUCACUAAGUAUACUUUGUACACUGUGUACUUACUUCCUGCAAGUGUAGUGCUGUUCCACAUGCAUUAUCAUCCUGAUAAUAAGCAAUAUUUACCCACUUCUUCACCUAUGGGUUUCUCCUCACCCGCCAUUAUUUACCAUUAGUCCCGCCCCUUCCACUAAGUGAGAAGUACGCCAAAAUAAAGUGCGCAAAUGGUGAGUGCGCAGUUAGGUGCACUGAACACCCUCAAUAGUCACCAUCUUGUUUGCGUAGCUAAGUGAAGUGGUUGCAAUUCACCAUUAAAAAGGAAAGUAAACAUUGCCAAUAACAUUUCGCGAAGACGGUAAUCAAUUUGGGACAGCACUACACUGAUCAAAAUGUGUGCACACAGUUUACUUCAUGUACUGUAUACUUCAUGAAGUACAGUAAUCCCUCGCCGCCUGCGCUUGAAAUUUCACGGCUUAACUAAUAAUUUAUGCUGUUUUUUGGUUGUAUUAUUAUUAUUAUAUAUUAUUAGUAAAAAAAAGUAUGCAUGUUUAAGCUAAUUUUACAUCUUUAGUUUGCCUAAAUGAAACAUUUUCAAGCAUAAAAAGUGUCCAAAUGACUCAAAAUAAAAACAUAAGGCAGGCACAAACGUUGCGAUGAUAUGUAGUAUUCCGCACAGGCCACUAGGGGUCAGUAAUGUUACAUUGAAUGGGACAAUAGCCAGAAAGAAAAUAUAAAAAUAACAAGCUUUCCCAAUGCUAGCCAAUGAGUUUAUAUUAUGUUUUAUUUUCUUUUAUUGGGUAAUAGGAGUGUAAAGGUGAUUAUAGGGUUGUUAUAUGUCUAGAGGGCUCUUAUAUUGUAUAAAAAAAUUGAAGUUCUCUUUGCUCUAACUGCUAAAAUAUUCAAUUUAUAAAUAAGGAAUCCUUAGCGGAAAUUCACUUUCGACUGGGGAUGUCCGAUAAUUAUUAGUACUGAUAAUUAUCAGCAUAAAAAUCGGUUGAUAUCGGUAUCAGAUUUCAUGAAAACCCAUAUUUAAAAAAUGCUCUAUACAAUACAUAUGUAUUCAUUCCAAAAUAGUAUAUAUGUUACACAUAAUGGUAUCGCAAAUUGAGACAAUAUCAACAUAUCGGUUAUCGGCAAAAAAGCCAAUAUCGGACAUCCCUACUUAGGACGGUCGAGUACGGCGCCAAAUGAGGGAUUACUGUAAUCAUCCCAGAGUACUACCACUCACUACCAUGUUUUAUACUGCAUCUAUCAGGCGUUGGAUACAGAAGGCAAAUUUGAAAAAAAAAACAUUGGACAUUUUUCAAAUGCACUUUUUUCAAGAAAAAAAAAAGUUUUCUAUCCAAACCAGCAGAUAUUUACGAGGUUUAAUCCUCCUUUUCUUCCUCCCAUGACAUGACAGGAAGUAGCAGAGGACACUUUGUAGUACACCUCCACUCCUUGCCCCCACCAAGUAUUACAGAGUAUCAUGCAACUCCUAUGCAAAUAUGAAUUUUGCUUUUCAUGUGUGUCCUUUUUUAAAAAAAAACUGCACUCUAAAUGAAAUAUUGUAUUAAAAAAUGCACAUAUAUGUGGGUAAAUAUAUAUAUAUAUAUAUAUAUAUAUAUAUAUAUGAAUCGUAUACAAUCAUAUUUAUUGUGUCCAUCUUAUCAAUCAACAGUAGACAUUUUGUCAACUUUCCUCUGCCUUAAUAGAGUAGCUCUAUAUAGAAAUGUACCCGUGUCUGUCAUGAAAUGUCCUUACUGAAUGUGUUGACGCCAGCGCCGCCGUGUAGACGUACGAUACGCUCGAUAUGAUCUCAUUUCAUUCUGCUUGACUUCCACCUUUGUUGUUAACAGUGGAUGGUGCCUUUGUGUUUACAGGCCAUCGUCAAAGAUGUCUUUCCUUUUUUUCCUUCUUCAUCCGCAUAAAGUGGUAUGGAUAUUUUGCAGAACUUAUUUCUUCCUAUUCAGUCCAUUCCUCAUCUUCUUUGCUCGGCUAUCUGUUAUAAAUUAGCACAGAAAGUGGUUUUAAUGGGCGGGGCAACAUUUUCCAGCAGGAAGAUGCUUUGAUGAGAUGUGAUGUUUUGUAAGUACGAUACUCUGGAAUUGUUUCUUUGUGUGUAAAACUGCAUUUUAAAAGUGGUUCAUUACUGUGGGAGCCAUGUUAUAGGAUAGAGCAGGGGUGUCCAACACGCGGCCGGCGUGACACUUGUGGUCCACAAAUGUUUUUUUUUUUAUUGGCCCAAGACACAUUCUAAAAAUACUAGGGAUGUCCGAUAUCAGCAUAAAAAUGCAAUAUUUCCUGUAGUUCAUUCCAGUACAGGAGAUAUGUCAUGUUACACAUAUCAGUACAGGCUCAUAUCGGUAUCGGAAAUUGAGAGUUGGACAAUAUUGGCACAUCGCUUUUCUUCAAAAAGCCAAUAUCGGACAUCCCUAAAAAUACAAUUUAACAAGAACAUGAAAACAAACUGCAAAAAUGGAAGGUGAAAUAUGAAAGAAAAAUGUGUAUACAGUAAAGUCUCGUUAUAUCGAUAUUGUCGGGAGUCUGAAAAAAUAUCGAUAUAACCGGACUGUCGAUAUAUCCGAUCCUGCGCCGAACUGCAUUAAAAGUGGGCAAUAGAGCAGCUUAAAUCAAUCUUUGCUUAAGGAUUUCAAUACCAAAAAAGAACACGGCGAACGGC